AACAUAUUGAAAUUCAUACCGAUUCCUUGUGGCAAAUUUUCAUAAGGCGUUUGAUUGAAAAUCAUACGUCCAUUUUCCUCAGUGGUUGAAAACUAUCAGUACUGGCACAUAAAAUUUAAAAGAGAACAGUAAGAGACUUUUUCGUAACAACAUGGUGGACUGCUGGCGGCACGCGGAAAUUUUCCUCUGGUGAUGAAUUUCGUUUAAACUCAUGUUAUGGAUGUGUAUAUGCGAAACGAAUGCUGGACGUAAACAUCAACAAGUUUCUGCUGUGCCAACGGGUGCUCAAGAAUCACCAUUUCGGCUGAUCAACAAUCCCUCCAUUUUCCCAGCCAUUUUCCCACAACGCGACGCAGCGGUCAUUGAUUUGUGUCAAUUAUGAUGGUGAAACGAUUUUUCUCAUAAUAGUUUUGGUGAAAAACAUACAGGCAAUAAUUCCGUACAUCAAUCCAUAGGAGUAAUAUCUGGCAUUCACUUUGCUCACAAACAUUACAUGGCAAUGAUGGCACGAAGAGGUUGUGCGAUUGAGGACCAUUUGCAAAUUACGUAACGUUCUAGAGGUUGAAGGGGGUCAAUCGGAGGAAGGAAAAACAACUUUUCAAUAUGCUAAAUUCCUGUGAGUGAGUUGGGGUCAAAAAUAACAAAUUUGUAGCGUUACGUAAUUUAAAAAACUCCGACGACAGCGGUGUUUUUUAGAACUGUCGCUACUGUUAAUCUCUGGGAAAUGAUCUGCAUUGCAAAAAGUUGUUAAGACAUCGCAUUAUGAUUAUCGAUACAUUUUUCUACCAGGAAAUAAACAUUUAUUUAUAAUCAAA
Armigeres subalbatus is the source of this 815-nucleotide long non-coding RNA. RefSeq lists it as uncharacterized. NCBI's taxonomy places the organism in Eukaryota, Metazoa, Arthropoda, Insecta, Diptera, Culicidae. The record is from RefSeq and is a predicted model, not a curated record. The transcript has 2 exons.